This 1523-nucleotide long non-coding RNA is filed under the name Camelus dromedarius (Arabian camel). Its description in RNAcentral is "lncRNA (ENSCDRG00005014533.1)". The record is from RNAcentral. Lineage: Eukaryota; Metazoa; Chordata; Mammalia; Artiodactyla; Camelidae.
GAAAGAGUAAUUUAAGACAUAGGAUAGUCUCUUGCUUAAAAGUGAAAAGAUGACUGUUCUUGUUUGAGACUUGGAGACAUUCCUCUUUGCUCAGGUAAAUCCCCUUCGCCCCUUCCUCCUGCAUGAGCUGCCAGUGCCAUCUCAGCUUCACGUGUGUCAGGACAGACACGCGCCACAACACUGGAAAACAACUCUCAAAGCUCUACUGUGGUACCAGGGAACAGACAGAUGAUAGAGGUGUGUGUGUGUGCGCGCGCGCGUGUGCUGGAGCAGGAUUGGGUAAGGGUCCAAAAUGAGAAGGAAAAGCGGUCUGGGGUGUGUGUGUGGAGAGGCUGCUACAAGGUCCAUAAUGCCUAAAAUCUUCUUGGAAGAAGGAAAAAUAACUUGUAUAAACACUAUUACUCUUACAGACCAACAAGACCAGACUUGUGAAAGGCAUCUGAAAAAACAGUCUGUAAGAAAAAAACAAAGUCGUAUCCAAUUAAACAAAGUCGUGUCCAAUAAACUUGGGUCUGCAUCCUCUCCUUCCUCCCUUCCUUCUUUGAUCAAGAUAUCCCCUCCCAUCAUCCUCACCCCUCCUCUGCCCACACACCUACUUACAAUCUCCCUCCCGCAGCAGCUAGGGGGCUGCUGGAGUCAUGACUAAUCAGAUUGGAGAGGCCACAGUGGACUCCUGAAACCAUGGUGAGGCCUGUUAAUGGUUGGUUAAACAGAAUAAUCUGAAUCUAAAUAAUCUGCAAAUUAGUCAGCCUUGGGAAAACAUUACGCAACAGAAUCAAGUAAUGUUCCUGCCCAAAGGGACCCCGUGCUCUCUCUAUGCCAGGGGUCUCCGCCACUUCUCCACCCAGGUACCCAGGAGGGAGUUAGCGCGGUUCAGUCAUCACCCUGGUCACUCUGAUGGUGAUUCCCAGAGAAGGGUAGGGUGAGGGCAGAGGGCGUUCUUGCCUCUAUAAAAAGUAUAGGAACUUGCAAGGAACAAGUUUGAUGAUGCACCUCCAGGGCAUUCUGAUAUCACUGUCCAGCCUAUUGAGAACCACUGGUACAAUCCAAUCUCUUCAGUGAAGAGAUGAGAAAGUCAAGAUGUGAGAGAUGUGAUCUCAGCCUGCCUCCAGUCAUUCACGGCAUCAUGCAAGGUCUCCUAAACUGACGAUGUGCUAUCUUCUCCUCCUUCCCUUCUAUCUACAGAGACACAUGAUCAACCAGCUAAACAGAGAUGCAGAUAAAGAUAUGUGUACACAUGCCCAUCUUUGAUGGGCAUAGUAUAUAAAGAUACGUGUAUGGGAAAAAAUUCAGGGGCAUGGGGAUCUAUCAUCUAUCUAUCCACCUUCUAGUACUGAAGUGGUUAAACUGGUGCAUUUUUACAGUUCCUUAUCACUGAAAAGGGAGUGAUCAGUUAAAUAAAAAAAAAAAAAAUCAGUGUCUGAAUAGCCAAAGCUGUUUAAGAAACAACUAGCAUGAAAGCUUCCUGUCCUAUAAAGUCCAAUUUCAAGGUCGACCAAGCAACUUCAAACUCUAUCUUGAAC